RNAcentral lists this ribosomal RNA (1252 nucleotides) under Escherichia coli. Its description in RNAcentral is "bacterial LSU rRNA". It matches the Rfam family "Bacterial large subunit ribosomal RNA", at positions 344 to 1602 of the family's 2925-position model. Lineage: Bacteria; Pseudomonadati; Pseudomonadota; Gammaproteobacteria; Enterobacterales; Enterobacteriaceae. The record is from RNAcentral.
GGAAAGGCGCGCGAUACAGGGUGACAGCCCCGUACACAAAAAUGCACAUACUGUGAGCUCGAUGAGUAGGGCGGGACACGUGGUAUCCUGUCUGAAUAUGGGGGGACCAUCCUCCAAGGCUAAAUACUCCUGACUGACCGAUAGUGAACCAGUACCGUGAGGGAAAGGCGAAAAGAACCCCGGCGAGGGGAGUGAAAAAGAACCUGAAACCGUGUACGUACAAGCAGUGGGAGCACGCUUAGGCGUGUGACUGCGUACCUUUUGUAUAAUGGGUCAGCGACUUAUAUUCUGUAGCAAGGUUAACCGAAUAGGGGAGCCGAAGGGAAACCGAGUCUUAACUGGGCGUUAAGUUGCAGGGUAUAGACCCGAAACCCGGUGAUCUAGCCAUGGGCAGGUUGAAGGUUGGGUAACACUAACUGGAGGACCGAACCGACUAAUGUUGAAAAAUUAGCGGAUGACUUGUGGCUGGGGGUGAAAGGCCAAUCAAACCGGGAGAUAGCUGGUUCUCCCCGAAAGCUAUUUAGGUAGCGCCUCGUGAAUUCAUCUCCGGGGGUAGAGCACUGUUUCGGCAAGGGGGUCAUCCCGACUUACCAACCCGAUGCAAACUGCGAAUACCGGAGAAUGUUAUCACGGGAGACACACGGCGGGUGCUAACGUCCGUCGUGAAGAGGGAAACAACCCAGACCGCCAGCUAAGGUCCCAAAGUCAUGGUUAAGUGGGAAACGAUGUGGGAAGGCCCAGACAGCCAGGAUGUUGGCUUAGAAGCAGCCAUCAUUUAAAGAAAGCGUAAUAGCUCACUGGUCGAGUCGGCCUGCGCGGAAGAUGUAACGGGGCUAAACCAUGCACCGAAGCUGCGGCAGCGACGCUUAUGCGUUGUUGGGUAGGGGAGCGUUCUGUAAGCCUGUGAAGGUGUACUGUGAGGUAUGCUGGAGGUAUCAGAAGUGCGAAUGCUGACAUAAGUAACGAUAAAGCGGGUGAAAAGCCCGCUCGCCGGAAGACCAAGGGUUCCUGUCCAACGUUAAUCGGGGCAGGGUGAGUCGACCCCUAAGGCGAGGCCGAAAGGCGUAGUCGAUGGGAAACAGGUUAAUAUUCCUGUACUUGGUGUUACUGCGAAGGGGGGACGGAGAAGGCUAUGUUGGCCGGGCGACGGUUGUCCCGGUUUAAGCGUGUAGGCUGGUUUUCCAGGCAAAUCCGGAAAAUCAAGGCUGAGGCGUGAUGACGAGGCACUACGGUGCUGAAGCAACAAAUGCCC